UGCCAGCAGCCGCGGUAAUACGGAGGGUUCGAGCGUUAUCCGGAUUCACUGGGUUUAAAGGGUACGUAGGCGGAUAGAUAAGUCAGUGGUGAAAGCCAGCAGCUCAACUGUUGAUGUGCCAUUGAAACUGUUUAUCUAGAGUAUGGUUGAGGUGAGUGGAAUGAGUCAUGUAGCGGUGAAAUGUAUAGAUAUGACUCAGAACACCGAUUGCGUAGGCAGCUCACUAAGCCAUUACUGACGCUAAGGUACGAAAGCGUGGGUAGCGAACAGGAUUAGAUA
Molecule: ribosomal RNA, 279 nt
Filed under: uncultured bacterium
Lineage: Bacteria
Description: partial 16S ribosomal RNA
Rfam family: Bacterial small subunit ribosomal RNA
Source: RNAcentral